GAUGAACGCUGGCGGCGUGCCUAAUACAUGCAAGUCGAGCGAACGGACGAUAAUCUUGCUUUUCUGAUGUUAGCGGCGGACGGGUGAGUAACACGUGGAUAACCUACCUAUAAGACUGGGAUAACGUCGGGAAACCGGAGCUAAUACCGGGUAAUAUUUUGAGCCGCAUGGUUCAAAAGUGAAAGACGGUCUUGCUGUCACUUAUAGAUGGAUCCGCGCUGCAUUAGCUAGUUGGUAAGGUAACGGCUUACCAAGGCAACGAUGCAUAGCCGACCUGAGAGGGUGAUGGGCCACACUGGAACUGAGACACGGUCCAGACUCCUACGGGAGGCACAAGUAGGGAAUCUUCCGCAAGGGGCGAAAGCCUGACGGAGCAACGCCGCGUGAGUGAUGAAGGUCUUCGGAUCGUAAAACUCUGUUAUGAGGGAAGAACAUAUGUGUAAGUAACUGUGCACAUCUUGACGGUACCUAAUCAGAAAGCCACGGCUAACUACGUG
This 497-nucleotide ribosomal RNA is filed under the name uncultured bacterium. RNAcentral's name for it is "partial 16S ribosomal RNA". It matches the Rfam family "Bacterial small subunit ribosomal RNA", at positions 28 to 507 of the family's 1533-position model. The record is from RNAcentral.